This 253-nucleotide ribosomal RNA is filed under the name uncultured bacterium. RNAcentral describes it as "partial 16S ribosomal RNA". It matches the Rfam family "Bacterial small subunit ribosomal RNA", at positions 524 to 776 of the family's 1533-position model. The record is from RNAcentral.
UACGUAGGGGGCAAGCGUUGUCCGGAAUCAUUGGGCGUAAAGAGCGUGUAGGCGGCUUGGUAAGUCCGCUGUGAAAGUCCAGGGCUCAACCCUGGAAUGCCGGUGGAAACUGUCAAGCUUGAGUCCGGAAGAGGCGAGUGGAAUUCCCGGUGUAGCGGUGAAAUGCGCAGAUAUCGGGAAGAACACCCGUGGCGAAGGCGGCACUCUGGGACGGUACUGACGCUGAGACGCGAAAGCGUGGGGAGCGAACAGG